This 402-nucleotide ribosomal RNA is filed under the name uncultured bacterium. Its description in RNAcentral is "partial 16S ribosomal RNA". It matches the Rfam family "Bacterial small subunit ribosomal RNA", at positions 29 to 526 of the family's 1533-position model. The record is from RNAcentral.
AGUGAACGCUGGCGGUAGGCCUAACACAUGCAAGUCGAACGAGUGGGGACGGGUGAGUAACACGUGGGUAACCUCCCAUCAGAGGGGAUAACACUUGGAAACAGGUGCUAAACCGAUACUGCUGGAUGGACCCGCGGUGCAUUAGCUAGUUGGUGAGGUAACGGCUCACCACGGCCACGAUGCAUAGCCGACCUGAGAGGGUGAUCGGCCACACUGGGACUGAGACACGGCCCAGACUCCUACGGGAGGCAGCAGUAGGGAAUCUUCGGCAAUGGACGAAAGUCUGACCGAGCAACGCCGCGUGAGUGAAGAAGGUUUUCGGAUCGUAAAACUCUGUUGUUAGAGAAGCGGUAUCUAACCAGAAAGCCACGGCUAACUACGUGCCAGCAGCCGCGGUAAUUC